UGGUAUUAAAAAACUUACCGAUUUUGAGGUAUUUCGUUAAAUGGUGUAUUGUGUGAGACUUUUGAGUAGGUGAUAUAAAUACCAAACCCCAUAAAAAAAUCACACCCUCCUAUACCUGAUUCUCACCUUUUUUGUUUUUGGGGAAGAUGAACAAAUGAAGAUAAACAAGAUACUCAUGUCUUUUAUAAGAGCUUCGUUUAACCAGACUCGAUUCUUUUGUAUUUAGUGGAUAGACUCAGAUAGUUGUAUUUGUUCUCUUUGCUUUCUCUAAUCUAUCUUGUUUUCUU
RNAcentral lists this long non-coding RNA (287 nucleotides) under Prunus persica (peach). RNAcentral's name for it is "long non-coding RNA (PPER_LNC000266)". Lineage: Eukaryota; Viridiplantae; Streptophyta; Magnoliopsida; Rosales; Rosaceae. The record is from RNAcentral.